CCGUCUAUAUCUCCGGUUUAUAGGAAAAGAAAACACGGUCUCUCUUUCGCUCCCUCAAAACCUCUCUCUCUCUCUUUCCUCCGUCGCCGACACCGUCGUCUCUUGAGGUCUCUUUCAAUUCCUAAAUGUCGAGGGCGGGGCAAGUGAUUAAGCGUGCCAAAUACAAGACUUCGAUCAAAGACCCAGGAACUCCCGGUCUUCUCACCAUGUUGGAGCACAGGUUUGUGUUCAGGCCUAGUGAUCCCACCUCUCCCGCAAAGCUUGAUGUCCCCUUCCAACUACUUAAAGGUCAGAAGAACACUAGAGAGGGAUCAAAUAAACCCCCUUGGCUUAAUAUCACCAACAAUAAGGAUGGGAGUUACAUUUUUGAGUUUGAGUCUUAUCCUGAUCUUCACGCUUGUCGAGAAAUUAUCGCCAAUGCCCUAGAGGCUGCAAAAGGUUCUUCUGCUCCGACAAUAACUUCUGCAGCCAAUGCCUCUUCGUCUGCAAAUGAACAAUUUAGUACGGCAGAGUUGGAGCUCCGAAUGAAGCUUAUGCAAGAAGACAGUGAACUGCAGAAACUUCACAAGCAGUUUGUGGGUAGUGGUGUCUUGACAGAAUCUGAGUUCUGGGCAACUAGGAAGAGGUUGCUUGAUGGAGAUAGCCGUAGAAAGUCAAAACAACGGGUUGGUUUUAAAAGUUCGAUGAUACUGGACAUCAAACCUAUGACUGAUGGUCGGAUGAACAAGGUUACAUUCAAUUUGACUGAUGAGAUUAAAUAUCAGAUAUUCGCCCUUAAACCAGCUGUGCACCAGGCAUUUAUUAAUCUCGUUCCCAGUAAGAUGACAGAGAAAGACUUCUGGAACAAAUAUUUCCGAGCUGAAUACCUCCAUAGUACAAAAAAUGCUGUAGCAGCUGCUGCUGAAGCUGCUGAGGAUGAGGAACUGGCCAUUUUCCUAAAGGAAGAUGAAAUAUUGGCAAGGGAAGCUCGGCAGAAGAUUCAGCGUGUUGAUCCAACUUUGGAUAUGGAAGCUGAUCAAGGGGAUGACUACACACAUAUUCCAGAUCAUGGGAUAUUUCGUGAUGGCAACAAGGACAUGACUGAACAACAGAAUGAGCAAUACAGGAGGACUCUAUCACAAGACCUUAACAGACAAGGCGCUGUUGUUCUUCAAGGAAGAAAUCUAGAUGCGGACCCAGAAGAUCCCAGAAGUAUAGCAGAGGCACUUAUGCUGUCAAGAGAGGAUCCUAGUGACAGUGCUGCACAGAAGAGACUUGAUAGGAUUACUCGGAUGACUGAGAUAGAUGACCUUCGUGAAUCUCAUGAUCAUCCAGUUGCUCCAUUAUGUAUCAAGGAUCCUCGAGACUACUUUGACACACAACAAGCUAAUGCUCUUAGAACUUUGGAUGAGUCACGUACUGGGACUGAGCAAACAAAACGCAAGCUGACUACUGAGGAAGCAUAUGGUUCCUUAAAGGAGUCAAUAUCUAAAAUUAAGAGCUUUGGAUUGAGCAAUUCAACGGUUAAACCAGAAGUUGCUCUUAUGGUAAUACAUUCUUUGUUUUAAGGGCUCACCCAGAAUAUUUCAAGUACCAAAUAUCAACUUGGGAAGAAUCCUCGUGAGAGUAUUCUGGAUGGGUUGCCAAACAGAACUAAAGAGGAACUCUUACAUCAUUGGACGUCUAUUCAAGAACUACUGAGGCAUUUUUGGUCUUCCUAUCCAAUUACAACUUCUUCUUUGUAUGUUAAGAUAGGAAGACUGAAGGAUGCCAUGUCACAAAUUUAUCGACAGCUAGAGGAGAUUAAGGAAGCUGUGCAGUCAGACUUCAGGCAUCAGGUCUCCCUCCUUGUUCGUCCAAUGCAUCAGGCUCUAGAUGCUGCUUUUCAGCAUUAUGAAGCAGACUUGCAGAAAAGAGCUGCAAAGAGUGGAGAGUUGCCAAACGGGAAUGGGUAGAAGUUUUCCCCUCAUUUGCGGCUCUAUUAUUAUAUGCUUCUGUCUAAAUUUUGACAUGAGAACUUGAGAAGUACCAUCCGACAUUAUUUUGCUAUGAGCUUAUGCAGUUUGACAAGGGUUUUUGGGGUGCAAAUUACAUCUACUGUGCACAAGUUGUGCAUAGAAUCGUUUAGCAAUAAUCAUGAUUGUACAUUUCUACUUGAGGCUCUUCAAGUGGCAGUGACUUCGUCUUAACAUAAAUUACAGAAAUUUACCUAUAUAGUAAAGUAGGUGCAGCCCGUUAUUGUUCAUAAGCCCCUCCGGAAAUGACGAUUCUAUCAUCACUUACGUCAUAAUUACAGUCUUACCGUCA
Fragaria vesca subsp. vesca is the source of this 2286-nucleotide RNA transcript. It is a transcript of the gene named probable RNA polymerase II transcription factor B subunit 1-1-like, with no coding region annotated. The record is from RefSeq and is a predicted model, not a curated record. Lineage: Eukaryota; Viridiplantae; Streptophyta; Magnoliopsida; Rosales; Rosaceae. The transcript has 21 exons.